CUUUUUAAUCUAGCAGACUUGCGUAACAACAUCGAUCUCUGGAAAAAUUCAGAUAAGAAAUACUUUAUUUAUUUAUUUAUUUAUUUAUUUAUUAAUAGAAGGAGUAAUUAUUCACUAGAAUAAUUUAUCCAGAGGAUGCUCUGUUACAUGGAGUUUUAAAAUCAAGAUUAAAACGUCAGCCUAAAAGAUUUGCUGUAAUCAGACAGAGGUUAUUGGACUGGAUGCCACUGUUAAAAGGCAAAAUUCUUAAACUGUAAUAAAUGAGAAAUUUGGCUAGAGGAUGCUAUCUCUUUCUUUUGACCUUGGCAUAUCCGACUUUAUGGUGUCAGUCAGCAUGAACUUCUAAGUACUUAAGAAAUGAAAGGAGUUAAGCAAUUGACAGGAGUUUCUUCAGCAUAAUGAGCUGACAAUGUCCAAGGCAAACCUCUGUAGCCACUCUGAGUGGUGGGUGGAUUUGGGCUGGAUGAUCUCCAGAGGUUUCUUCCCAGCUGCUCUACUCUGUGGCUCUUUCGUACCAGUGCAUCUUUUUCCCAAGCCCAAGUAAUCUUCAGCCUUUGGAAAUAGCAGACAUCUGCUCAUUGUCAAGCUGCGUGAAACUGGGGAUACUGUAAAGAUCUCUUUUUAACAAGGAUUCAGACCCCUUGCAUAUGCUCACUGCUUUCCAGACAGCAGUUUGAUAGCCAUGGUAAUAGCCUGUGAUUCUAUUCAGUAGAUGGGUAAAAUAUACUCUCUGUCUAACUGAAUGUUUCUGUCACUUACUCACUGUUUGGCCUUUAUUGCUAAAAAUAACUAUUAUUAGCUGCAAAAGAAGAUAACUCCUCCCUGUCCCUCAACAAGUGGACAAAAGCAGGAAUAAACAUACUAGGAAAAGAGGGAACAAAUGAGAAGAUGACAAGAGGUCUCACGCAUCUCUGACAGACUUAAUACAGACUUUAUUCGUUCAGCUGAUACUGUACUGGUCAGUUUGUGGGUUGAGGUACUGUUGACAAGAAUCAGAAAUUUUAUCAUGUCACGAGGAAUUGCAUGCAAUGAAUGGAAGCAUGGAACCUUGGUCCUAGGCUGCUUUGUAGUUCCUUGUGUCCCCUCAAAGGAGCACAGCUUUGAUGAGCACAAGUAGUGCCCACUUGAUACUUCAUGGGCUCUGUCUGGCUGAUGCUUGAACACACUGGAAUGUCACACUCCCUUGAGGCCAAAACCCUGAAGGCCCUUUGCCUAACUGCUCUCCAGAGCUCUUGGCCACCUUACUGCUUCCAUGCUGGGAUGAGAUUCCCAGCAAGCAGCAGAAAGCAGAUUGUUUUCCCUUGGCAGAUAUCUAGAGUGUUGAAAUGGAAGUUCAUUUAAUUCUCCUCUGCUUUACUCAAGGCAGUCUCCAAAAAUUUAUUGGUUUCACAGAAUUUCUGCUUCAGCUUCAUCUUUCAAUAAAAGUCAAAGAUUUUCUAGCCCCUUAAAUAAAAUAUAUCUGCUCUACAAUUCUUCACUGUCCUCUAAAAAGAGGUAGGAGCAGGCAUAUGCCUGAUGCAAUACUUUUUAUGCCACAGGUAUCGUUACCAGGCAACAAUCACAUGCAGCUACAGCAGAACACAAAGUUCUCCAUCCGCUAACCCUUCAAGCACCUCAACCAAGUUGUGCCUGCAGAAAAUAUCAGAGAUCCUUGUGAAAGAAGGCAGCAACAAUGACUUUCAAAGUUAUGAAUGGUUUAAGGACAAUCAUGUUAUACUGACAUCGUUGUUACUGUGUACAAACACACAUUGCCACGAACAAGUGAUGCCACUGAAAGUUAAUUUUAUGUAUUUCUGCAGAGGCAUCCCAACCUCUCUGGUUUUCAAUAAUGUUUUGAUUAUUGCAGGUUCAGUACAAUUAUAUGAAACUGGAAGAAUGUUCCCAGCUUCCAUCCCCAAGUAGAAGAAAGAAAGAGAUGAGAAACUCGCCAGAUCCAACCAAGUUCUUUCCUAUCAAGCACUGAAAAGGGUUCCUCUCCAGUUUAACUUGGCUAAGCAAGUCCAUGGAUGCUUGGAUGGCUUUCCCCGCUGGGGAGGACACCACCUACACCAGCCUCAGGUUUACCUACAGAGCUGUGUAUUUAACAUUCUUCAUCCUGAGAUAUUAAUGGGAAGGAUGUCAGCAUCCACUCAGCAUAGUUUUGCCAUCCAGCAUCUCAGCUCUUGUUACGGUUAAUGGAAAGGCCAAACAUGAAAGGUCCAGCCCUCAAGGAUAGAGCAGAAGAUACCUGUAUGCCUACUGUUCCUGAUACCUCUGCAAAGGUGAAUGAUUGAUGCUGAUUACAUGGAAAUGAAUCUCAACCCAGAAGAAUGAAAAAAAAACCACACCAUUCUAUUUUCUGAAGGUCACCAAACAAUCAAGAGCAAAUACUGAACUUCACUUCUCUCCAAGGCAGAAUGGAUACAAAAUUAGAAAGCUGCCUGCAGCAGGUGAAAGGGAAACAGCAGGAAUCUGACUAGAGGGACCCCCUCUGGGUCCCCAGUGUACCACUGUGUGUAGCUCUGCCCAGGAGCCAUCACCCAAGUACAAAGGCACAGCAAGGAGCAAGCACUACCUGCUCCCUGCUGGUGAGCCUUUCCUUCACAUGCCAUGUGUAAGGGACUGAUACAGUUGUAUUACGCUUCACAACUUCCUUAAUGUAAAUCCUCACUAGGCUUCUGGGGAGAAAGAAGCAGCUAAAAUGACUUCUUGUUAAUGAAAUAUGCAAUACCAGAGGUACCUUGGAAGGAGAUGAUGUGCUUUGGUUCUUUCUUCCUGAGAUGAAAGAGGCAGAAGUUCAAUAUCACCAAUAAUUUUGUGUAAAUUACUCUCUGAUUGUUUUAGUUUCACACAGCUCAAUGUUACUUAUUUUCCUUCCGUUCUUGUUGGAUUUUUCAGCUAUUUUCAGUAGAUAAAGGAUGUCUCACUGCAAAGAAAUGGAAGAUACUCUCCACUAAAUUUAUUUUGGGCAGUAGAUAAGAGAAAUCCAUGAAAAUCAUUCCAGAGGCAGACUACCUUGAAAUCUGUGUGACAGGAAUAAUGAAAUGACUUCAUCAAAAACUCUUCACAAAUCAGGAUCUGUCCAUUGCUAGACAGAGAAAAACAGAGCUAGCAAUUAACACUGUAAUAUGUUAUCUGUUUCUCCUUAAAAUUUAAAGAGAUCUGUGGAAGCAUAUUGCCAGGACCAUGUUUUCUGCUUUGGUUAUAAUCUAGGUCCUUGCAAACUUUCAUUUCAAAUGGAGAUGGUGAAAAUUGUCAUUUAGGGCUUUUUGUGAACAGAUUUUUUCGUCAAACCUUCUUUAAGAAGUGCUUUUAUUAUUGUGGUGUCUUGUAAAACUGAAAAGAAAAAAAGAAGUAUAAAACAUAAAGAAGAAGAAAUAUUAAAAAAAAAGAAUAAAUUAAAAGACUAUAAUUUUGAAAGGUGCUAAUUCAAUAAUAAAAAAAAAGAAUGCUUUUCAGUUUAGAUUUAGAGACUGGAACAAUACUUGUACACAACUUUUAUGGAAGAUAUAGUCAAAUAAAGAGUGCAUUUCCAGCUACAUAGUUUGAAAUGUGUCAUUUAGAAUGACUUAAAGACUUCCUUCAUGAUGCAAAACAGGAAGAUGUAGUCUGCUAAAACUUCUAAGAAAAAAAAAAGUGUCAUUUUUAAAAAGUAUUAAUACUUAAUAUGUAUAAAAAAAACCAAAACAAACAAAAAAACAAAACAAAAACGAACAAAAAGCCAUAUUCAAAAGCAACCAGGAAAUAUUUCUGUCUGGUGUUUUCAUAGCAUUCAAAAUAUUUUGUUA
Non-coding RNA from Coturnix japonica (Japanese quail), 3767 nucleotides. Lineage: Eukaryota; Metazoa; Chordata; Aves; Galliformes; Phasianidae. The record is from RefSeq and is a predicted model, not a curated record.